Alexandromys fortis (reed vole) is the source of this 5927-nucleotide long non-coding RNA. RefSeq lists it as uncharacterized. The record is from RefSeq and is a predicted model, not a curated record. NCBI's taxonomy places the organism in Eukaryota, Metazoa, Chordata, Mammalia, Rodentia, Cricetidae. The transcript is spliced from 3 exons.
GCAGCUGACACACUCAGUUUGUGUUGGCAGACUCCCUGUGACACUACAUUCUUAGUGCUUAGAACUGCGUGAACCCCAGACAUGGAGUCAGCCAUUUUGCACUUGGGAAUUCUGAGAUGAAUGGAAACAAGCCAAAGGAUCAGCGCUGGAGACCAAAGUCUGGGGGCCGUCGGCACGGUCACAUCGGAAUUCACUUCUCAGAAAUCAAAAGGAUGGAGAAGCCCAUGGGAGGCCAGCAUGAGAUCCUGGAACCAAUGUCACUGCCACAGUCCAGGCCUGUGUCUAUCGUAGGCUGGAGAGAUCACUGUGGGAAGGCCUGCAAUAAGGGAAGCCAUGGGACCACUUCCUGAAUUCGUGCUAAUCUCGGCCUGGAGCAGAGAAGUUCUUUUUAGUAGGGGGUUACAAUUACUGCGCAGACUCCUACGUAGUCAAAAUGUCGAGAGUAAGUGACCAACGAGCCCUCAACCUUCGACAGGGUGUUGUGUCUCACACACGCAUACGCAUGCACAAAAGCAACAGCGAACACUGCGGAAGAGAGAGGUGGGAGGGAAACUGAGAGCUGGAGGAUGGAGAACAGUGUCCUGACCUGGUGGGGUGCAGAUCUCACAUGGCUGCUGAAACCAGGAGCACACAGCGGCUGUGGAUACCUGCACGAGGCUGGACCACACGAGGCCCCACCUCUGCUGAGGAAUGAAGGGUUAUUAGCGGUUUCUGGUCUGGGGAUAUGUUCUCUAACGGAACGGUCACUGGGAGACCAGGUAGGAAAAAGAGGUUCAGGGGAAAACUGAAGGAGAUACUAGAAGGUAACGUGGGGAAUAUAAUCAUAGCACACUUGUUAUAUGUAUGCGAUUGUCACGAUAUUAAACUGAAAAAAAGACAGUUCCUGCCACAGAAGCCACAUUCAAGUAUCCAGCAACUCCAUGCGGCUCCUGCAUACAGAGGAGCAAUACUGACUUCCCCACUGCCCAGUGAUCCCCACGGGUCCCAAUGUGCAAUGGCUGUGUGGUGGGAGAGGCAGAUGGCAAAGGUCUAUAAAAACAACCCCCCCACAAACAGCAAAGCAGCUCAGAGAUGAGAGCUUGCCGGAGGGGAAGGUCGUAAAGAAAUGCUCACAAGUGGAUUGACAUCGGCCUCAGGGGAGAUGGACUGACAACAGAUUCAGGGGAGAGGGCCCCCAAAGCAUAGCAGAUGACUCUGGAGGAAAGAAGAGACACUCCUUUUUAGGACAAGGUGCCUUGUAUCCAGGCUAGCCCUGAAUUCUCAAUAUAGCCGAGGAUGACCUUGAACUUCUGAUCUGCCUGCUUCUCCCUCCCAGUACUGGGAUUAGAGGCAUGAUAUCAAUCUAGUUUAUGGGGUGCUCAGGAUUGAACGCAGGGUUUUAUGCAUGCUAGUGAAACACUCUACCAACUAAGUGACUCUGCCAGCUAAGAAUGUCUCAUCUUAAAAAAAAAAAAAAAAGAAAGAAAAAGGAACCACACAUUUAAUUAGUCAAGAUGAUGAACAACUGUAAAUCCAAGCCCUUGGGAAGCCUAGAAAGAAGAAUUGCUGUGAGUUUGGGGUCAGCCUGAGCUACCCAGUGAAUCUAGGCCAGCCUGAGACCCUGUCUCCAAAACCCCUAAAACAGGUAACAACGACAACAAAAAUCACAGCAAAGGAACAACAAAAACACAUAGAAGAUACCACCACGGAUUGCAAUAUCGUGCUUUAUCUUCAAACCCAGGGUAAGAAAGCCCCAGAGGAGGGCCACAGGAGAACCAUUUGAAGGAACAAACCAGAUUCCAGGUGGAGCAGGAAGGUGAGGGCAAUUCAGGCUGAUAGUAGAUCCAGGGUAGGAAUAUGCUGUGAGGCUCUGGAAGGGUUGGAGGAUUUGUGCCAAUGGAGAGAACAAGGGCCUUGGUGGAACAGCACUGGAGUUGAUCAUCCUAGCGGACUGGCACCUGAAGGCACUUAGUCUUAGACAUUAACUGCUGAAAACUAGAUUGGCCGGCUGGGGAGCGGUUAGCUGGCUCACUAGGCCGGAGGUACAGUGUUCCUUCAAGCUCAUGCACCAUGGCCCAAACUAUUCUUGAUCCAGAAACAGCAGCUUCAUGCAGUGUUGGUCUCAAAGGCUUUGGUUUCAACACCUGCCGACUCUCUCAGACGCUAGACACAGAGAGAGGGAUCCUGCGGGAGAUGUCGAGAACCUCAAAGUCUAAGUAUCAGUCCAGUCUCAGAGACUGUGUUGUCGGCCACCCUAUAAACCACAUCUCCAUUGUCAAAGAGCCUGGAGCGGGUGGGUCCCAGGAUGUGAGUUUUCCCAGCCGUCCUGAGUCAACAGCACAUUCUCCUCAUUGGCUCCUGACAGUAGAGCAGGAUGUGAUGUCACCACCAAGCCAGGCAAUGAGAGAGCCCCGUGCACAUCCUGAAUUUUAAAUCGUGCAAACUUGUGAGAACUCAAGUAACAGCUGUUUUAAAUUUGGUUCUAACAAAAUGCAGCAAGAGGUUCUGCCACGAGAUUAAGAGACGCAAAUUGUUUGAGAGGUUAUUUAUUAUUUGAGUUAUGUGACUUUCCCCGCCACUGACAAAAGCAAUCAAGAAGACUACAAUGGAAUCAGUAAAAAUGAACUGACUGUCCAAGUCCUAAGUGUCAUUGAAAAACAAUGUCAUAUACUUAUUAAAGUUCCUACAACAUGGGUUAGUGAGGCAUUCACUAAUGAAUCUGAUUGUCAGUACAACACCAGCCAUCGACCAUCAAACCCGCUUACUUAUAGAUGUGGAAACUGAACAUCUGCAGUGGCUUUAAUCUCUACUAACAACAUGUCACCUGAGACUUAGCCCAGAGAAUGGCAAUAAUACUACAAGCUUUAAAUCCCUCAUAUUACAGAAUUGCAUAUCUUAAUACUUGACUCUCAAACCGUGCAAGCCGGUGUUGGAAGUCACCUGACAACAGCCCCACAGAGGGUCACUGAGUUCUUGGCCACCUCCCUUGCAUGACUUUGGAUGCACCGCAGUCUAGGGUGCAGUAGCUGCGGCCGCGAGUGGUGACGUCUUGCCGUUGGGCUCCUGGUGUGACGCGUAUGCAACCUGCCCACAUUGAGCUCCUCUCCAGGCCGAGACCAGCAAGGGUUUGUCCAUUUACAAGUAUGUUUACUCUAGCUCUCCUCAGUCCCCGCAAAUGUAUCUGUAGCUCUCAGAAGGAGAUGUCACGCGCUGGGCAAAGGAUAACAGUACGCUGGGGCUAAUUACCGGAGCUUAAGGAAUGAGCGUGGACCGCAGGUCGCCAGGCACGUGCUUCUCAACUUUUGGAGUCCACGUGUCCUAUUAGUGCUGGAAAGCUGACCAGGGGUAAUCUGUAAGUCCUGGAGCUCAAGCUCUGGUCCCCAGCACAGCCGAAAGUUUUACAUUGUUGAGAGAAUCGGCCGCACUGAAAAUAGACCCCAAGCUGUUAAAUGAAGGAGGCUGUGAGGAGCCAGUGCAGCAAGACCUGACUUGUUGACUUGUAAAGACUGUGAUGGGGGAGGACCUGGAGGGAUGGCUCAGCAGUUAGCAGUCAUUGCCGCCCUUUCAGAAGAUGCACCCCACCUCCCUUUGGUCCCAGUACCCACGUCCUCAGGUGACUCACAACUGCUUGUGACUCCAGCUCCAGAGUCUCCUAUAUCCUCUUACAGCCACGGUGGACUAAUAAACUCAUAUGCACAUAUUCCCACACAGAUAAGCAUGAGUGCAUACAAUUUUAAAGCAAAAUAUUAAUUAUAAUAUUAUUAAAAACACUACAGCUUUGUAAUUUUUUAAAAAAAAAAGUUAUGAAGCCAUUAAUAGUCCAUUACUUUAAUCCCAGCACUCAGAAGGUAAAAAUGCAGGGGGAUUGGGAACUUCGGGCCAACCUUAGCUACAUAGGAAGCCAGAGGCCAGCCUGAUCUAUAUAGUGAAAGCCUGCCUCAAAGUACAAGUGGAAUGAAUACAAUUCUCAGAAGGAAAUAAAUAAAUAACCCCCAAAAAAAUGCAUGAAAAAAAAAUGUUCAACAUCUUCAACCCUCAGAAAAAAAUCAAAACUACAUUGAGUUUCCAUCUCAGCUCUUUCAGAAUGACGAGACCAAGAAAACAAACACUGGUGAGAACGUCUGGCUGGAGAGGGGAAGGGACACGGGGCGGGGAGGACACAGCCUUUAGUCACUACUUGUGGGAAUGUGUAAUGGGGCAAUCGCUGUGGAAGUAAACGCGGAGAUACAAAGUCCUCUAAAAAAAAUAAAUUCUGCAGCCACGUGGCCCCUUUUAUAUCACUCCUGGGUGUAUCCCUGAAGGAAUCUAAGUCCUACAGAGGCAUGUGUGAGUCAUGUUUAUGCCGUGCUGUCCACAAUAGCGGAUAUGCCGCCUAGAUGGCCAGCAGCAGAUGGAUAAGAAACACACGUAUACACGGCAUAUAUACACAGUGGCGUUUACUCGGUCAGAAAGAAGGACGACACGUGGCUCGCAGGAAAACUGGGGGAGAUGCAGAUCAUUGUGCCAAGUCAAAUUGUUCAGAUCCAGAAAGACAAAUGUAUUAAGUGUUUUCUCUCCUGUACAGAAUCUGGGAUUAUCCUACAUGACCUGGAGGUAGAAGGGUGAGCUAUAUGGGAGGAAGGAUGGGACCGGCAGUGGUGGGGAACGGAGGAUGAUGGGGCAAAAGUGAACAACAUACACCGGUAUUAUACACGUGUAUGUAUGUAUAAAAUGCCAUGAUGAACUGCAUUCAUUUGCGUGUUAACUAUGAAAACAAAUUAUGAAAGGAAAAACUUUGAGUUAGGGAUGUGUAGCUCAGUGGUUAACAUGCCCAAGGCUGUGGGUUCUACUCCCAGCACCCCCAAUGAAACAACGAUAAUAAAAUCGUUAAUUCUUAUUUAACUCUGAUCGUAAGAAAUAAUAUCUUUUCCCACCUCUUCAAAUAUUAAAAUUUCAGGAGGACACUGAUAAAGAAAAAUAUUCUUAGCUAAAAUUUGAAUGCUAUUUGGGGAAACCAUGUAUAUCUAAGUGUCAAUAGUUUGUGUACUAUAAAAAUAUGAAUUUACUUUAAUUUUUAAUUUUAAUUCUAAUUCUGGAAGGGAUUCUUUUCCUUAUCUCUAGAAAACCUAAUGUAUGUGUGACACUUAUUUAAACACCCACUAAUGUAUCUGCUCCCAUGGAUCCAAAGUGUAAAAUUACUUAUUUUCUAGACAGAGACGCAGAUGAAUACACAUAUUUAUCUGACGAAUUUAGACCCACUAAAGCUUUACUGAUAGUGAUGUUUCUUCGGAGACUGAUUUACCAACAGACAGAAGUAUUUUUAAAACAUAGUCUCGGAAAUCAGAGACAAAUGGAAUAGAAAUGGAGUUUUUGUUUCUUACAAAUUGCUUUGCGUCUGGUGGGAUUUUCAAAUUCUGACUCUAAUGAGAUUUGGCUCCAUGUAAAUUCCCUGUUAAAAGGCCUGGGCUGGUGCAGUCCUAUAGACAUUUAUUCCCCCAAACAUUACACGCCAUUUUGGCGGAUGAGAGGUGGGGAAAAGCAGAUCCUAUUCAUUAGACUGCCUACGGGAAGAGAGGUCUAUGGAAACACGUUUUCGGAGCCUUUGCCAUUUGUUUGCUGGGAUGAUGGCAAUGUUGAACUUGAGAAGUGUGUGUGUUUGUGUAUGUUAAAAUUAAAUCUGGUAAUUAGUUUACUUUAGACAAUGACCGCUCAAUUUACUUAGGACCCGCUACACGCCAGGCAUCUUGCCAAGUGUUGCAGAGGACAGACAGUUGAAGAAGUUCCCUUUUCACUCUGAGGCUGGCGAAGCCCAUAGUCAAGAAGCAAUUACAGCGCUGCAUGUUUAAAAGAACAUGUGAAGUGGUACUGUGAUAUAUUUCACUGUAGCGCAUAAGAGUAAAGCCAACGUUCAUAGUGAGUGAAGACUUUGAAACUAUGCGCACUGACCCUUAAAGAGAUUUAUGAAAAUG